Molecule: long non-coding RNA, 2956 nt
Organism: Echinops telfairi (small Madagascar hedgehog)
Lineage: Eukaryota; Metazoa; Chordata; Mammalia; Afrosoricida; Tenrecidae
Exons: 3
Source: RefSeq, a predicted model, not a curated record
GAUGACCUGUCGGCCCAGGAAGAAGUGACCUGGGAGCAGUUUCAGGGGCCAGGGAGUGGUGCGCAUGCUGACAUCCUCUCUGUCCCUGCCCUCCAGCCUAGGAUAGCCCCCCACCCCCACAGGAUUGCUGGACAGGGCUGCCAGUCCUCUGCUGCCCCUGCCCCAGGAAGGGGUGUGGGGUGCUCCUGUCCACAUCUGAGGGUUUAAUUCACCCCACACAGGGAAGACUCCUUUCCCCGAAUCUACAACUUGCCACGUGCCCCCCAGUGCCCACCAGGGGGCAAAGUGCCACCCAGCUCCCACUGCCUCUCAUGCCAUAGGUUUUGCAGUCAAAUGCCCUUGUCCCCGUUCCCAGGGCCACUGUGGAUUCAGCCACCGCCUCCCCGCCACACUGCCCCAGUUCUCCCACACAUACACACUCCCAGUCAUUGUCAGGACAGAGGUGGUGACCCCCUAGGCGUGGAUGACCGCCUAGCAGCGGCGCCCAGGCCCCCUGAGCUCUCUCUGCUAGCAGACCUUGCUGCCACCCCCUGCUGCAGGGCCUCCACAUGGGCUGCCCCUCUGCCACCCGUCAGUCCCAUCUCUGUUCUGGGAGCCCUCUGUCCAAACUGCGGCUAGUUUUUCUCACUGUGAAGUGACAGUGCGGAUAGUCUGUCCUCUCCAUGGAGAGCAGGCCACAUGGGGGAGGGCAGCCAGCUCUGUCCGCCAUGGCAGGGCCAGGCCCACCCAGCUCAGAACCUGUGCUCCCAAGCCCCACAGAAAUGACUUCUUGGGUCAGCGAGGUCUGUGUGGGCCGGGCGGCAUUUGAACCCAGGCUGGUGGCAGGGGCCUUCUCCUCCCUUCUUCCUCCCUCCUGGCAGCCCAGCUUCCCCCAGCCCCCCAGCGCGCUGUGUCCUCAGGCCAGGCUGCCGCAGACUAGUGUGUGCCCAUGAAUCAAGCUGACGUUUCCAUUACCGGCGGGAGACGACUAUGGGGCCGGCCGCGGGCUGGCUCUGCGGAGUGGGCUAGGAUAACUGCUUAUCGCCACCGCUGCUGAGGACGGACGCAGGCCUGGUGACUCACCAAGGCUGGUGGACCGGAGAACCCCUGGAGGCUGCCCACCAGGCGAUGUCAUCUGCAGGUGAGUCAUGCCCUGACAGACACCCACCUGGCCUGCCUGGAAGUGCUUCCUUGCGUCUGGCCAGCUGUCUUUAUGCUGCAGGCUGCAGAGCACCGGUGGACCCCUGGCCCUCAGCCCCUGCCCAGCAGGUGGGAUGGGUGACACUGAGCUGCCUUGUCCCAAGGCUUCCCCCCUGCCCCUUCCCUUCCCUGACCCUUUGGCAGGGGAGCACAGCCCACGUUGGGGCAGCCACGCACCAUCAUCACAGGCGACUUGCAUGAUUAUUUAUUGGAUGCUUUUCUUGAAGCCUGUCUCUCUUUUCACGGAAAUGCCUACUGGGGUUCCCCCCGAGCAACGGUGUCUGUGAGUCGUGGCCCGGAGCGCCGCGGUACAUUUGUCUACUACACAUUUACAGUAGCACGACUACUCAGAGGGGACAGUGCAGCCCAUGUGCCAACCGAAUCCCCGCCUGCACCCGUGGGGGGGCUGGCUGCACGCCAACUUCAAGAGGACCCUGGCGGGAAGCAGGCACUCUCUCCAGCCUAGAUCCUGACGGACCUCAUCGCUCCCUAGCCCUGUACCUGCGGUGGCUCCCUCUUGCUCCAAGCCUAACGCCAAGUCCUUGUCCUAGCAUCCAAGGCCUUUAUGAUUCCGCACCCAUCUCAGUAAGUCCCCACCUGGGCUGAAUGAGUCAGGAAUGAAUGAAUGGCUCAGGCUUGAUGAAGGCGCACAGGCAUGAGUCAGCGAUGACCGGUGUGCACCUCCACUUGGAUGUCCCCAAGACUUCCCUCGUCCCCGUGCCCUGCCCCUUGCCUGGGCAGCAUCACCAACAUGCCAACCCCUCCUAACUUGCUCCUGAACCUGCCCACAGGGCCCUUCCUACUUGGGCUGCACGGAGGAUGGGGCGAGGCUCUGCCUAUGGCUGCCGUGGCCCUCCUGCACGCAGGCCCGGCCACGGCUGUGGCCUCUGCCCUGGGAGCAAGCUGACACUUCCUGAGUCUUGCGAGUUGGGCUGUGAUCAGUAAGGUGCCUACCACCGUAGGAGCACGGUCGAUACACAGAGGAUGGCUGAAUAAUGGGAUGCACGCAAGGAUGCUUGAUGGGUCUGAUGUAAGGAAGAUGACGAUGGAUGGACGAUAUACUUACGGAUGGUGAUAGGUAAAGGAGAACUAAGUGCUCUGCUCAAGGGAGCCUUUGGGAAAGGCCUGGAAAGAAGUGACCCCUCGGGAGAUCACUGAACUCGGUGCUAGGAGUCGUCUUGGUUCAAACUCCAGCUGUGUCCCUGAUCCCUGUGACUCCACACUUCCUCGUCUCUAAGAUCGGGGCUGUUCCCCAGGCAUCGAAGUCCUAGGACUUUAUGCAAAAGUGGCCCUAGACACAGGACAAAGGGUCCCCAGGGAGGGUCAGGGCAUGGCCCCCUUGACGUGUGGCCUCUCUAAGCUCCUGGCUUCGGACGGCCUUCUAGGGCUUUGCCUGUUGGACGGCCACGCCCUCUGGAACCCGCCCACCUCCACCCCCAGGCCCAACUUUGGUUCUGAGUCCCCUCGGUGCCUGGCCCUGAGUGCACUGGCCUCAACACAGCGAGAAAACGGGUCCACAAGCAUUUAUUGAGCCCCUGCUGUGUGCCCCAGCCCUCGGCCACCGUGCAGGCUCAGCUUCUCCUCCUUCAGGAAGCUGCCCCUGCCCCCCACAGGGCUCUGCACCUCUGGGCCCCUCCUGAACUUCCCGGCUGGCGGGUGGGUGGCCCAGGUGUCCAGUGGAUGAUGUCCGUGUCUUUCGGUGCUGGCUGCAGCCAGCAGUUAGGGCUUCCUGUCCCAAAGCUGCUCUGAGACCCAGGAGAAGAGUGGGCCUGGUGGC